GAGCUCAAUUCGGCGGCACAUACCCUAAAACCGGAACAACACUGAGAAGGGUAGCAUGAUGCCUGUGCAAAUGAGUGAAGCAUUUCAUAUUUUU
Small nuclear RNA from Bison bison bison, 94 nucleotides. Lineage: Eukaryota; Metazoa; Chordata; Mammalia; Artiodactyla; Bovidae. The record is from Ensembl.